GAUGAAGAACGCAGCGAAAUGCGAUAACUAAUGUGAAUUGCAGAAUUCCGUGAAUCAUCGAGUCUUUGAACGCACAUUGCGCCCCCUGGUAUUCCGGGGGGCAUGCCUGUCCGAGCGUCAUUACAACCCUCAAGCCCGGCUUGUGUAAUGGGCGGCCGUCUCUCCCCCCGGGGGGAGACGCCCCCGAAACUCAGUGGGGAUGUCGCGAUACCGAAGCCUCAGCUAAUGGGUAAACCGCAGCUGCAAUGGCCGCGGCCGGCGUCCGCCUUCCACGGUCCGUCCGCCUAGCGCGGGCGGCCUUCUCAAGGUUGACCUCGGAUCAGGUAGGGAUACCCGCUGAACUUAAGCAUAUCAAUAAGCGGAGGA
This 366-nucleotide unclassified non-coding RNA is filed under the name soil metagenome. RNAcentral describes it as "partial contains 5.8S ribosomal RNA, internal transcribed spacer 2, and large subunit ribosomal RNA". The stretch from base 1 to 120 matches the Rfam family "5.8S ribosomal RNA", at positions 35 to 154 of the family's 154-position model. The record is from RNAcentral.